This 1747-nucleotide long non-coding RNA is filed under the name Nicotiana benthamiana. RNAcentral's name for it is "long non-coding RNA (NBEN_LNC036680)". Lineage: Eukaryota; Viridiplantae; Streptophyta; Magnoliopsida; Solanales; Solanaceae. The record is from RNAcentral.
UAUAUAAAUUAAACACCCUUUUUAUAGUUCUAAUCCAUUUUGGUUGAGUUUAAUUUUGUGUCACUAGUUGUUCCUGUUCAUGGGUUUUGUUUGUUUUUGUUUGUUAUUUUACUGAACUAGCUUAGUUCUAUAGGGUCAGAUUCUGAGUCUGAAGAAUUUGAAUUUCAGAUUCUGAGUCUGAAGAAUUGGAAAAUUUUGAUCUUUGUUAUAUAUAUGUCAUACUUUUGCUUUGUAUUUUUUAUGUGGUUGUUUGGUUGAGGUUGAAGGAGAGCCUUGGAGCAACAAUAAGAUUGUCUCUAUGUAUGUGACAUGUUCAGGUCUGAGGCGUAGAAUCAGCACUUAACCCUCGCAAUUGGAUAGGCUUAGUGUAGGCUGCCUACAUCAUACUUCCGGAGGUACGGCCCUUCCUCAGUUCCCCAUGAAUGCGGGUUUUUGUUUGUUUGGUUGAUUCUGCUUAUUUCCAUUAUGGCUUUCUUCAGGUUACCUGGAAACUGACCUAUAUUAUGUUCUAUGGUCUCAAAUAUUAGUUGUUUUGACAGAUUUGGAUUUGUUUUUAAAGAUUUGACCUUUUAGCAAUAAUGUAAAUAUUAGUUGUUUUGACAGAUUUUGGAUUUGUUUUUAAAGAUUUGACCUUUUAGAAACUAAGGAGUAUUUAUAGGAGUACCUUAUUUUUUUCCAAAUACACCCUUACUACUUCCAUUAGUAGCGUGUUAAUUAAUUGAAACAUUUGAGAACUAUUAAAUAUCUUAAUUAAGGGGUGUACAAAAACCUUAAAAGACAGGUAAUAUGAACUAGAGCUAGUAGUCAAUUAGCCCUGGCAUAUCUCUGGAAGUUGAUGUGAUUGCUUUUUUAUGGGAAAGGAAAUGUGUAUCUAUUGCACUUUGAUACUUAUCAUUUCUUUACCUUUUCAUACAUUUCUAUACUAUUUUAUUUGCUUCUUUCCUCGUGCCGAGGGAUUAUUAGAAACAACCUCUCUAUAUUCACGGUAGGGUAAGGUCUAUGUAUUUACUGUCCUCUCCAGAUCCCACUUGUGGGGUUAUACUGGAUUUGUUAUUGUUGUAUACUAGGAUUACGACGACUGAUGCAUAGACAAGUAAGACUAGCUUUUCUCAUUGGCCUGACUGUAAGAAGGUAGUCGAAGAAGCUUAUAAAACGGAAAUAAUUCAAUUUGUGGGAGGUGGAGCUUAAAUUUACUACGAAUGGUACUGUUUACAGAGAGUAUCAAUUGGCUUCAAUUUAAUGGAAGGUUUUCUCCCAGGAGUUUAAUGAUAAGGGAUGAACUUACUUUAGGUUUUGACUCCACGAGACAAGACAGAUGGUGAUUGUUACGAAUUGUAAUUUCCUGGUAUCAAAUUAGAAUUUGCUCUGCAUCUGUAAGCUGAGACGUGAGAUUGUAACUUCCUGGUAUCAAAUUAGAAUUUGCUCUGCAUCUGUAAGCUGAGACGUGAUAAAAUUUCAUCCAUAUGACACUUGCCAACUUGAAACUCGUUAUGUAGUCAUUAAACUUGUAAUCUGCUUCCAACUUAACGUUGUCGUCAUUAAGUUUCACCAUGUCGAGCCCCAUAAGCAUAAUCCUAUAUGUUAUCACAAGGACAAAAUCUUAUAACCAUCGUCUUUUUGGUCAUUGAAAGCUGAAUGUCUGAGGAGAUUGAAAUGGGAGUAUUUAUCACCAUGUUUUUGUUUCCUGUGAAGCAGUAGCUCUCAAAACUCUACAACCACCCUUACCUUGUUCCGUUAUACUUCGCAA